CCGAAAGAUGGAGGAGGUGGGGCGAUUCGCCGAAUUAAAAUUGUUAAAAACCUAAGGGGCGUCUAUAAUGGCGUUCAAAAAAGGGCCCCGUUCCAAACAGGAAAAGGUGUCUCCUUCGAGCCGGAUUCGAACCAGCGACCUAAGGAUUUCAGCUUGAUGCCACUACAGUCCUCCGCUCUACCAACUGAGCUAUCGAAGGGACGUUAGCGUGAAUGAGACACGUGUAAGUUUUGAAUCAGUCCUACUUCCCUGUAGUAUGUCGAUUUUAUUGUCAUUACUACACUUCCUUACAUCGUACACAGCUAAAACCUUAAUCCUGAAUCCGGGGUUUGCUAAUGUCUGUAAGCUAACGCUUGCUAGUUGGCUAACUACUGCUAUCUGUGUUUUACCCGGACAAAGUUAACGCUUAUUAACUUGAUAGCGACAAAUUUUACACAAGAACACAAGGGAAACAUUUAGUUGCUCUGUAUAAAACAAAAAAACGAUUUGCAAAACUUCCCUAGUCAUGUAAACGCUGGAGUAAGAGUAGACACAGUUAGCUUGUUAUAGUCCAUGUAGUUUCCACGGAAAACACGCACUGCACAAGGCAACACAGAUAGAGACAAAUGUUCCUCUACUGGCGAAUAUUAUAUGAAAUACAACUUGCUUACCUCGAACAGGGGGUUUAAAGCCAUUUCACUUUAUCUGUUGCUUCACUUUUGACGACAGAAGAAGGUGUUUUUACAAAGUUCCCUUGUCGAGUGAUCAAUACAGAUGAGUUAAAAGUUAUUCAAUGAUGCCCAGUCUGUCCUAUUGUUUUACGUCCUCCUUACAUUGUUUCCAUCGCUGCCACUCUCCACCUGUGCGGAAACUGCUCACCUGUGUGUCUCUGGAGAGGGGGAAAAUCUGUCCUCAAAUUUACCUGCGAGUCCCGGGUUACAAAAAAAAACAAGUCACAAGUGUGCAGAUCAUUGUGGUUAAAAUCUUUGCAAUCAAAGCCUGUCCACUAUCUUGAGUUUUAUAGUUAAAUUGUAAAGCGAGUAAUCAAUCAGAGGUUGGUUUUAAAAAGCAAGUGGGAAAUGUGAGUUUGUGCAAAAUAACAAACAUUCCCUCUGCAAAAGUUAUCUGAAACCCGAAAAAUUAUCUACUAUAUAUAUUAGGGGUGAUUUCUGCACAUUCAUAAGUAAUGUAUCCGCAAUUUCAGUAAUUCUCCACAAUUCAGCAAGUCUGGUUUCAACUUUAACCACUAGAUGUCAGUAUGUCUCUACUUAAAGAAAUGCAAAACGUCUCCGAAUCAUAGACUGUAUAUACUAUCUUAUAUACAGUCUAUGCUCUGAAUCAAUUUGUGUCAAAUUAUUAUUUUAACAUGGAAUCACGUGACAAACUGAACCAAACUCCAGAUAAAAAAUCCUCAUCCAAAAAAUCCAGACACAAGUGUUUGCCAAAAUUUGCAACAUGAUUUGGGAUUAAUUUAUCUUAUUCUUAUACAUACUUUGAUAAUACUUCUAUCAAUCAAUAUGAUCAACAAAGUAUUAAAAAAACAUCUUAACACAGUCUGAUAAAUGAUAACAAUGUCCUCUUGUGGUUUAUCAGUUUCCAAAAACAUCUGAUGUAUCAAACGAGAUAAAUAAAUAUAUUUGUUAAAUUUCAAGGGCAUUUUGACUUUUUUGGUUUUCUGUAUUGAGUCAAAUAAAAAUUUCAGCUCCAAAAAAAAUAAAAUUUUCUGGCCAUAACUCGUGGUUUCAGGCAUUAUAAAGUUAAAUUAUACUGUAUUAAUCAGGAUUGAAUAUAUACGCUUAGCUUGUCUUUUGAGGUUUUUGGUGGCUAAUGUAAAAAUAAAAGGGAUUUUUUUUACUAUUUGUUAUGUGUCAUUAAAUCUCUCAGGUUUGUAACACAAUUCUCUAAUGUUUUCUGUUACACUGACAACAUCAACCUGCUAGAAAUAUGAACCCUGAAAUAUGACUCUCUGAGUUUUUAGACAAAAACAAGCAGCAGCUUGUUCUCCUCUCGCCCGAAACCAGGGUUUCAGUGUCACCUGCAGAACUUACUCUAAGAUGAAGCCCAGUAAAUUAUAUUUUAAUUUUACAAGAAAGGGAAAGUAAAAUGUGGAAAUAUUGUUAUCAGAGAAAGGAGAACAUCAGCGCUUGUCUAAAUGUAAUAGUUUGUCUAUUCAGCUGUAUUUCAGAUCAACAAUUUACAAUAUUUACGCCAGCUAUUUUUUUUAACUUAAAUUUUUAGAUUAUUUUGUGCACAAAAUUCACAGUGGCAUUGUUUUAAUGGAACUUGAUGAGCACUGUCAAAGAUCAGCGUUAUGAGUGUAAUAAACAACCUAAAAUAAUCUCAAAUUUUAUUUGAUUUUUUAAAAUUUUGUGUACCCUGUUAGGGGUAAUGAUUGCCAUAUGAUAGAAUACACAUUUAACUUCAAUAAAAUUAGUAACACUUAUAUUUUUACCAUUUAGAAAGACGUUAUUCUGAAUCGGGGAGCGUUUUGAGCAGAAAGGUGAUGACAAUAAUUGUUUUGGUGAGGGUUAUUACAGGCUUACAGUGAUAAAUAGGACCUACUGUCAAGCUUCACUGUACAUUCCCUCUCAUCCAAAAUGAGAAUAUUUUCAACUUGUCCUGACCUGUUGGACAGCCCUCUUAUGGUUUAGCUGCCCCAAAUUACAGAACAUGAGGUCAGACAUGGAGCUAGUAGUGGGGUCAUACAAUACCAGAGGACUUUGCUUUUAUAAGGAUGGGCGUAUUGUCACGGCAUGUUUCCAAUAACCGUAAGUGAUGAUAAGGGGCCUUCUCACCCCUCUCAGGGGUUGAUCCAUUUUUGCUGUUUUAUUUUUUUCCUCUCCCUUCUCUUUCUGUGACAUUUUCCAACACUGUUUUCUCCCCCCUACUUCCCCUGCAUUGAUUUUGAACCCAGACCCAUUUCACUCUAAGGCACUCAAAGUGUACAAUGUCUGGACCAGAUUAUUGGCUCAUUUCCUUAAAUGUAAACUGCUGGUAUAGUUCUUAAUACUUGUGAAUAGUACUGAACUAUUUUUUUUUAUUAUUUUUCAUUUAACACACAAGCAUUGUACAUUCAGAAGAUGCAUUCUAUUAUCUUGGUCUUUGUUCUCUUUAUAUGAUAUUAUAACGAACCUUACAUCUUUGUAUCUCAGUAUCACUGACUUUAAAAAAACCCUAUAAUUUCCCUAUAAAGUCCACAUAUACUGAACGUUAAUUAUAAAAAGAAGAGGAGCUACGACCCUGGCCAACGGACAUCCAAACAUGUGUGCAUGUACAUGUAGAAAUACAAUUAAAAAUUCAAAGGAAAAGUCCUAUUAAACAGAUUCUGCAUGUAUCAUAGUAUUAAAUUAUAAUUUUUCUUUGCAAAUUGAUAUUUUCAUACAGUUGACAGUCUCACGAUCUAGGUAAAAAGAUGACAUGUCUUGAAUUAAUAACUAUUUCAGUGUUCGGAUACAGAAAAGCCAGACUUACACCUGCGAGUCAAUAACUGUUUACAAGAGUGUCCGCUCCCUUGUUCUUUGGUAAUGUUCGUGGAUGAUUUUUAAACUGCUUUAUCUGGCACAGGUUCACUUUGACCCUCUAUGGGCUUUCUGACCCCCUCUUAAACCUAAAAAUGGGACACAUCCUGCCUGUCUGGCUUUUAUGAAGCUUUAACUCCCACACUUUCUGUGGUCUCUCUGUCCACACUUCACUUUAAGCUUGCACUCAGUCAUCUCCGUAGUCUGUCAUGUGCUUCCAUGGGUUUCUGUCACAGUGUUUUAUAAGACCUUCCAGCAUGAAUUCCAGUUAAGUUACAUCAUGGGGAGAAUUGUAUAUAGGUCUAAUAUUUACGCAACAUGGACCCUGUUUCCUUGUUUUUGUCACUUGAGGUUGAACCAUCUGAUGAAAUGUGAAUGAGGGCGAUGUUAUGGCUACAAAGAAGCAGAUAGACAACUGAGAUAAACGUCAUAAAAUUGGAAGCAAAGCACAAGGAACCAGCCACAGAGGGUGUUUAGAGCCCAGUGUUUGAUGCCUGGCCUGUGGGCACACCACUUACCCUUCUAGCCUGGAGCAUGUCUGGCUUUCCGUCUGGCUUUUACAGGAGAGUAGACAGAUUACUUGCAAGGGUUGAGACGGUUCAGUGAGCUAAAGGUACUAGGUGACAUGGCUGCAUGGGGGGAGAACCAUAUCCUUUUACAGUCUGGAAAUAAAGCAAACCAGCAGAAGUGGAAUGAUCCCACAUCUGUCAUCUUGUUGGGUCUGUAAGAUGAUGAGCAGUGCUUUCUGUAGAGGGACAGUAGCGGGCUGUGACAGGAGUGUUUCAUACCCCAGAUAUCAUGUUAUUAAUAUUCAGCUGCAUUGACUGGCAUUGUUUAAUCAUUCAAAGGUUCUGAAGUCAUUUAAGUUUAAAGUCAUUUAACGUUUUAAUUUAAACAAGAGAGCAGUCUGUCCUCUUACUUUGGGAUAAUUUACUAUACUUUGGGAUAAUUUUACCACCUGUCUUUAGGAAGAGUAACCUCAGAGUCACAGUAAUGUAUUUAUGAAGCAAUAUUCAGCUGCAGGUCAGCUUAGCUGUGCUCAAAGAUGAGAUAGAACCAGCCUGUCUCAGUCUAUCAGGGUCUCACUAAAUACAUAGUGCUUCCCUCAGCUCGAGGAUGUAACCUAUUGACAGCCUUAUGCCAUUAGCAAAGAUUUUUGCUUCUUAAACUUCUAGUGCUGCUUCAGUGCUAACAACACUCUCCCGGAGAUUUCGAAUUGACUAAUUUCUCUCUGUUUUUAUUGUUAAACUUAUCACCCUCUGUAAAUCUUGGCUGUGAAAAAUAUAACCAAAGCCCUCUGUGCCGAUAAAGCAUGCUAUAUUUCUGACACCUAGCCCUUGGCAAAGGUUUUAGGCAUGAAAAAUAACCAAAUUGAAACAAAUAUUUUUUUCUGAUGAUGAUUUUUUUUCUUUUUCUUUUUAUCUCCAAGUAGUCCAUCAGUCUGAAUUUCAGUCUGUUUUAUAACAAACUCAAACUCCCAACAAAAGCUUUAUCCAAAAUCCACUUUGGUCAGGGAUUUUGAAUAUAAUCCACUUGGUCAGAUCUUCUUAAACAGCUAAAUUUUGUCCUUGAUACACCAUCAGUGCUGCUCGUGCUUGGAAAGGUCUUUGACUCUACAGGGGACACAAAUAGUUGUCUCCUGAAUGAAUGUCAUCUCACAGAGUUUUCAAAAGUGUGAACUAUUGCAAACACAUUUGGGGGUUAUAUAUGAAUUUGAGGUAAAACUUACAGAGUAACUGAUUCUCUAUAUUGUUGAUUUACUCUGUACUAUAACUAGCUGGAAAAAAGUCAAUUUCAGGGUUAGUGCGUUCACACUACGUCACCUGGUAUCCGUUGUCACGCCCUGGACUGUUUUAUAGCCAGGUACUGUGACCUCCUGAAGUCCUGUGACCUUAGGAAGAGGACUUGACACCUGGAAGUGUCUGUGUUUUACAAACAUGUACUACUUAAAAGACAUAAUGUGUUAGUUUACAAGAUAAAGAAGUGCUUUCAGGUGAUUUUUCAUUUUCAUUCAGAGUCAGACCAAUUUUUCUAGUCUGCUACACUUACUCGAAAAGCUGCUCCCUUUGGAUUGAGAUUUACUUACUCAUUUAUCCUCUGAUCUAUAUCUUCUUGAGAAAGUGGCUGCGUACUUUCCAGGGUAUCAUAUCUUUGUUUCUAUGAUACAGCUCAGUAGAUAUCAAGUUAUGGUACAACAACAAACAGCUGCAGUAAAAGGGGAACAAAGGAAUUUGUCCAUAAUGAGCAUUUUCUUUCAUCCAGCCAGGGGAAUACACAACAGACGGGCCAAGAUUAGACAUCCUUCCUGGAGCAUUUUUCAUGGUGACUCCUGGGAUUUAAGGAGCGAAAAACAUCCAAGGGAUGUACAAGGAAACAGCUCAAGGUGCAUCGCCCCUUGGCCCCCCAGAUCAUCUGGAGACAUCCAAAAUAACCCAUGCAAAUCUUAAACACACAGACAUGAACCUUUUCGCCUUCAAACGGAGGAGGCCAUCACUGUGACGAGAGUGGCAGUAUUCCAGGAAUGUCCUGAUCCGUCAAGGCCGGGACGCCUCAGGGAAGAGACUGAGAAUGCCCCCCCCACCCCCACCCCCCAACUUUUCUUUAACAUUUACACGCACAUAUGUGAGGAUGAUUCAUAUGACAGGCCUUAUUCACAGUGAGAGAUGAUUACUCUUGACCUCGUGUAAUCACUGGUAUGAUGUAUAUUCUCACUUACAGAAUUCCCUUUUCAUCUUCACUCAUCAUCUUGUCACGUCUUUGUCCUGUUUUUUUCUCAGGUUUGAAAUCUUGUACAUUUUGCCACUGGCAAAGCUACCUUUAAUAUCAUAUGUCCAUUUUUUAAAAUCUUGCUAGUC
Molecule: non-coding RNA, 6352 nt
Organism: Xyrichtys novacula (pearly razorfish)
Lineage: Eukaryota; Metazoa; Chordata; Actinopteri; Labriformes; Labridae
Source: the annotation of a GenBank genome assembly